UACGUAGGGGGCAAGCGUUGUCCGGAUUUAUUGGGCGUAAAGAGCGUGUAGGCGGCCAGGUAGGUCAGCUGUGAAAACUCGAGGCUUAACCUCGAGACGCCGGCUGAAACCCUCUGGCUAGAGUCCGGAAGAGGAGAGCGGAAUUCCUGGUGUAGCGGUGAAAUGCGCAGAUAUCAGGAAGAACACCCGUGGCGAAGGCGGCUCUCUGGGCCGAUACUGACACUGAGGAGCGAAAGCGUGGGGAGCGAACAGG
This 253-nucleotide ribosomal RNA is filed under the name uncultured bacterium. Its description in RNAcentral is "partial 16S ribosomal RNA". It matches the Rfam family "Bacterial small subunit ribosomal RNA", at positions 524 to 776 of the family's 1533-position model. The record is from RNAcentral.